ACAUCAGGCUGGACCUGGUGGAGUUUGUGGAGAGGGGAAUGCGGCGUGUAGGUGACGCAGUGGGUGUCGUGGGUUGUGAUAAGCAGCAAGCCUCGUGUGGCGUUGGCGUGGAGAGGCUGGCAGGCAAGGAGAGUUUUCCUUUGCUGGUAUAGCGUUGUGUCUUAGGAACUGUAAGAAUUAACCUUAAUUCCUUGCUCUAGUCUUAACUUUUCAUCUUCCAAACUUUUUUUCAUCUCAAGGUACCGUUCUUCCCCUCCAAAACCUUGGCUACAUUGUCUACUUCAGCGUCAGACCUUGAGGGUGAAGAGUACGCUCAGCAAGUUUAGUUACUGCAGUUAUGCUGAACAGUGACAAAUUGUGUCGUGGCAUUGUGAUGAAGACAAAUACUUUCUGAGGAGAGAAGAAAUCCGAAGUUUUCACUUGCGUACUGAAGUCUGAAGAGGCAACAGCUGUCAAAAUGGAUUUCCUACUUGUUUGGAGUGUGCGUCAGGAAAAAUUUCAGUUUCCUUAAUGAUGCUUGGGUUUACUCUGCUCAUCAAAGGGGCAGUCCAAGUGUGAUUAGAUCUACUCAUUAGAUCUUCACAAUGAAGUGUAUCCCAGCAUUUCCACUACAAUGUGCUUCUCACCGUGUCUUUUGUGAAACACACACCAAAUGGUGAACAACAUGCAGAAGGGAAAACAAGCAUCUGCUUCCUGGAAACA
This is a long non-coding RNA of Egretta garzetta (little egret), 702 nucleotides long. RefSeq lists it as uncharacterized. The transcript is spliced from 3 exons. Lineage: Eukaryota; Metazoa; Chordata; Aves; Pelecaniformes; Ardeidae. The record is from RefSeq and is a predicted model, not a curated record.